UGUUGCUCUGUCGAACAUGAUUUGCAUGGAUACCCCUGAGGCCAUGCAAAAAGGUCACGCUGAGAAAGGUUGAGACUCUUAGUCAUUCAGAAAGUAGGUUAUUACCCUGUUGCAUAAAAGUCAUAAGGUAUAUUUUAUAUGCCCACCCCAGCUUAGAUAGAUUUAACUGUUUUACUCGUUCUGAGAAAUAAGAACACCCCAAUAUGUAAAACAGCAAACAGUAAGUGAUUUGCCUAAACCCACACAGGAAGUCACCAGUAUGCAAGAAUAGAAUCCAAAGUUCCUGGUUCCCUGUCCUUUGCUAAUCUCACUAAAUAAUUUGUCAAAACACUUCAAAGUCUUUCUUCCAAAGUCAACUGAAAACUUUUCAUGAAAUUCACCUUCUAAAUGAAGACUAUAUUAAAAAGUGUUGCUAGAAAACAAAUAUUGCGAUUUUAUAUUGCAGUGCUACUAUUUGCAAGUGCCAGCCUCUUAAUCUGUGUUUCCAUUCCUUCCGCUCUCUGCCGUACCCUUGGGGCAAGGUAGGGAAGGAGCUAUGUAAAGAGAGAGACCUAGUGAGUCUGUCUUGGACACCAUUCCAUCUGCUCUUCUGUCCCAGUGCCUGGAGACAUCAAAAUAUUAGUCAUGUAGUCAAUGAGCAAGUGAAACAAAAAAGACAUCCCAAAGGAAGAGUCUGCCAAGAAAUGGGAGGAACAGAAGGUCCUAUCAAAAGGUGUCCUGCCAGGGAGAUGACAAGACAGAUAUAAUUUCAACACCAUCCUAAUUUGCUUUGCUGACCAGAAAGAGAAGAUUCAGGCUUUCUCCAUCAACAAAAUCCUCCACAACUGAGAACUUUAUUUUAAAUCCUGUCAACUGAGUUCUCCUCCUACUCCCCAUGUAUGCCUGCAUUUUCCAGAUGCAAAAUAUUAGUUAAAUUUUGAAAAUGUUUUCUAUGGGUUGUGGGGUGACUGUGACAAAAAGGGUACUUGGGAAAUAAAGCUUAUUUUUUUUUUACCUGUAUGAAACUCAUUUACAAAUGUAUUUUUAAAAUUAAAUUAUGCCAUUCUAGAAUUUUUCAAAAGAUUUAAAGUAGUCUAGUGCUGUAGGCUGGAUAUCAAAGUAGUUUCUUAAAGAAUGUCAGACAUUUCUGUUUUUGGAGCUACUUAAAACUAAGAUUUUAGGACACAUAAAACUAGGAUUUCUCCAGGAUUCGAAUGAUCCUAGUGCCUCAGCCUCUGGAGUAGCUGGGACUGCAGGAGUGGGCCACCACAUCCAGCUAAUUUUUCCCUGUGAAUUUUGAAGUAAUUUUAUUAAUAAUGUUACUGGUGGAGAGUCUUGACUAUGAGUCAUCAGGUUCUUGUCAUUUUAAACAAAGAAUUGGACAAUACACAUGAACAAAGCAAUGAAAUAAUGAAGC
Sapajus apella (tufted capuchin) is the source of this 1396-nucleotide long non-coding RNA. RefSeq lists it as uncharacterized. The record is from RefSeq and is a predicted model, not a curated record. Lineage: Eukaryota; Metazoa; Chordata; Mammalia; Primates; Cebidae. The transcript has 2 exons.